GGAAGCGUGGCCGAUUGGUAAGGCCCCGGUCUUGAAAACCGAGUGUGCGGCUUGUAAACCGCAGGGUGGGUUCGCCUCCUACCGCUUCCGCCA
This 93-nucleotide transfer RNA is filed under the name Variovorax boronicumulans. Its description in RNAcentral is "tRNA-Ser". It matches the Rfam family "tRNA". From Rfam's summary of the family: Transfer RNA (tRNA) molecules are approximately 80 nucleotides in length. Their secondary structure includes four short double-helical elements and three loops (D, anti-codon, and T loops). Lineage: Bacteria; Pseudomonadati; Pseudomonadota; Betaproteobacteria; Burkholderiales; Comamonadaceae. The record is from RNAcentral.